GUCUCUGAGGCCUGAAAUACCCACACUCGGGCUUGAGGACCGUCACCCAAGAGUGGUCCCUGACCUGUUCCUCCCUCCUCACCUUCCCAUCGUUCCUUCCCUGCAGUUCCACCCCUUGCUUUAUAGACAGCCCGAGUCAGGCAUUUCUAUUUGACACAAACUUGUUUCUUCUCCCUGAGGCCUCAAGAGAUACAUUUUAACAAACACAGAUCAAUCGAUCAGUGUGUUCAUGGGUGUUGGGAUUGCUGGCAUCACCGCACAGCGACUGUUACCUGUUUCCUUCCAGCUCUUCCCGGCUCCCCCUUCCAAGUGCAUUAUUUAUUUCUUCUUUCCACAGAUUACAUUGCUAAGCAAAUCUACAUUCAAGUGUGCGUUGAUCCAGCUAACUUGUCCAAAUAUAGGUGGAAGCUCCUAUCUGGAAAAUGGCUUUAGCCUAAUUGUGUGAAAUCAAGCACUGUGUUCUGCAGGGUUCUGCAACCUGCGCUCAGAGCACUUUCCUCUGCUUGGAUCUUGUAAAGAGCUCCUGAUGAUAUUUAGUUUUUUCCAAAUGAAAUUCCAUUCUGUAAUGUAGCACCAUGUUUCGGGAAGAAUGGCAGCAACUCAGUCAGGUCAAGGAUAAAUACUGACUGUAGUGUCUUAUUCUUCAGAGUGAGGCCCAAACAAGCUGUCCCUUUGAAGUGCUCAUUUCCCUCUUCUGGGCAUCCCCUCUGUCACCUGUCUUCUUACAUAGCUGCAGAAGAGAUGUUUAUCUAGCCCACUGUGGUUCGUUGAGAAGAGGCAAGGGUCAGAAAAUAAAAGGAAAUUCUAUAAACAAUUAUGAGGAAUGAAGGUUUUCUAAGCUACAAAGGGAGGUAUUGAAGUGUGCUUACUCCAUCCAAGGAUGCGAAUGGAUUGCUUGUGGAGUACCCAUUUUCCAGAUGCCACAAGACGUGUAGAACACACUCCGUAAUCUUGUGCAAGGAGCAGUGUGUGGUGGGCAUCCCUGAGUCGGCUUUAUACGCACUCCUGGUUAAACACUGUGUACAACCCAGAAUUCAGACGCAAAGUUUUCCUUCAGUAAGAGCAGUGGGAUAUUUUCUUUCCAGACACGGGACCAUUGGUUUUUAGUGGAAUCUGGGAUUUCCAGUGUUUUGUUUACUGUUUGAAGCCGGCAUCUACAUUUCCAGAAAGUUAUCGUGCACUUGUUAUUCAGUCCCUCGAGUGUUUAUUAAGCACCUUCUAUAUAGUGAGCAGAGUGCUGUCAAGCCUCUGUCUGUCUGUCUUUCUGUCUGUAUAUCCAUCCAUCCAUCUAUCCAUCCUUCUAUCUAUCUAUCUAUCUAUCUAUCUAUCUAUCUAUCUAUCUACCUACCUACCUAACCUAUCUAUGUGUGUGUAUGCAUGUACAUGCACUCACUAGCCUUUAGCAAUGAGAGGAACAGCCGAAGACCCAGCGGCUGCUGGGCUCACUUUGCCUUGAGGUCCACCAGUGUUCCUCACCAGUGGAGAUGAUCCUGAGGACAGCCACUGGUUCUUGUUAGCAGUCUCUAGCCCCAUUCUUGGGGGAAGUCAGGUGGGGGGAGAUGCCUCUGAUGAAAUCUUCAGGGUUGGCUAAAUCCCAUGAAUUCCUGCUGCCCUAUGUUCCUCACAACGCCUUGUUCUCUUGGCCCAGAGACCGAGAAGAUUGUCCUUGAGGCAGGAAACGGACUGCCAUCCUGGAAAUUCAAUGACCAGCUCUUCCCUUGCGAUGUGUGUGGGAAAGUGUUCGGACGACAGCAGACAUUGUCUCGACACCUCUCAUUGCACACAGGUAUGUAAGGGUCGUAGCUCCCAGCCUUCCACGGGCCCUUCCAGAGCUCUCUACUAGCAAGAAGCUGAGUUUCUCUAAGAGAAUUUUGAAGUGGUGGGAACUUAACUGAUUCUGACCUUUACAGGCCUUGCUGCCUGGCACAUGUAAAUGAGACCCUGGAAAAGCUUUUCUAUGGUGAAAAGCCUCAUUGAAUUCCCAGAGGAACUAAUGAGAAGCGAUCUGCACUUAAGUACCUCUAGGUCAACUCCUGAACUCUGUAAAGGAUGGAUUCAGAUCCUUUGAAAGGUUCGGAGCUGCCCCACCUUCUUGGUAUCAACUUCUUUUCUAUUAAGGAAAGAUUUUAAUUUAGAUUUCAGUGCGAAUGCUAAGUGUGAGAUAGGCUUAUGUAAACAACAGCCAAGCUGCAGGAAGAUCUUAGGAGACACUCCUCUGAUUUCCACUCACACUGGUAGGAGCAGUGGGGUGGGGACCAAUGUGCAGCAGAUGGUCUGCUCCAAGGGGCAGAACCAGGAGGGGAGUGAAGAUAACAAGAAGCAAAGAGAAAGCAAAUAGUAACAACCAGCAGAAGUAAGCUAAGCCGGGAAAGGUCAGGGAAGCUGCGGGUGCAGGUGACAGCCGACACGGGUUGGAAUGUGGCUCAGAGGUAGAGCCCAUGUGAAGCCAGGAUUCAGUCUCCAACACCAAAGAAAAUACAGUCAACUGUUUUGAAAGUUUAACAUCGAAAGUCAGACCUUUAAAAUAUCCAGAUUAAAAACUAUAUAUAUAUAUCCAGAUAUACCAAUAUGAUAUAAGCCAGGUAUACUGAAACAUGCCUGUAAUAUCAGCAUUUGGGAGAAUGAGGCAGGAGGAUGACCAAUUUGAACACAGCAUGGAGUGCAGAGGAACACCCUGGUCCAAAAAAGGAAAAAUAUAACAAAUCAAAGUUAAGGGGGUUUGUACAAUUAUGCAAAAAAAUAAAAGCACAGAGACAGAGUAUUAAUAGGACAAGAUUAAUUUUGACCUUUUAUCUUUUUAAAUCUUCUAAAUUCAAAUUUUCAUCGUAUAUUAGACAGAUAACGUGUUCUUAAGAAGUGAGGAUUUUUAAGGCCUCAUUCUUUAAGCAUACUUAAAUGCAUUUCAAGUAACCAAGUAACAGAGGAUGAAUAAAAUUCCCCACUUAAUUAGGAUCAAUUUAAAAAAAGGGAAGAAGAAGG
Molecule: long non-coding RNA, 2979 nt
Filed under: Mus musculus (house mouse)
Lineage: Eukaryota; Metazoa; Chordata; Mammalia; Rodentia; Muridae
Description: long non-coding RNA chr8:79174184-79177163
Source: RNAcentral